RNAcentral lists this ribosomal RNA (262 nucleotides) under uncultured bacterium. RNAcentral's name for it is "partial 16S ribosomal RNA". It matches the Rfam family "Bacterial small subunit ribosomal RNA", at positions 29 to 285 of the family's 1533-position model. The record is from RNAcentral.
AGUGAACGCUGGCGGUAGGCCUAACACAUGCAAGUCGAACGGCAGCACAGUAAGAGCUUGCUCUUACGGGUGGCGAGUGGCGGACGGGUGAGGAAUACAUCGGAAUCUACUUUUUCGUGGGGAUAACGUAGGGAAACUUACGCUAAUACCGCAUACGACCUACGGGUGAAAGCAGGGGAUCUUCGGACCUUGCGCGAUUGAAUGAGCCGAUGUCGGAUUAGCUAGUUGGCGGGGUAAAGGCCCACCAAGGCGACGAUCCGUA